CACUCGUUGUGGCAUCCCAAUUCCUUUCUUCGGUCUCUUCCAUAAGAAUCCAUCUCGAAGUAAAAAUCCAUAUGCUUUUUUUCUUAUUUGUUUGAAUUUUUCUGUAGAUCAAUUCUCCUGCUUAGUCAAGGUAUUGAAAUAAUGACCAUUAUCCAAUAAUUCUCCUUCAUAAGAUUCUUCAAGAAAUAGCUUGUCUUCUCUGUUGAGAUUUGAUAUUGAAUAGAAUUUCAAUCCGACAUCAUCAAUGUCUU
RNAcentral lists this long non-coding RNA (251 nucleotides) under Physcomitrium patens. RNAcentral describes it as "long non-coding RNA (PPAT_LNC006987)". The record is from RNAcentral. Lineage: Eukaryota; Viridiplantae; Streptophyta; Bryopsida; Funariales; Funariaceae.